Molecule: ribosomal RNA, 2906 nt
Filed under: Escherichia coli
Lineage: Bacteria; Pseudomonadati; Pseudomonadota; Gammaproteobacteria; Enterobacterales; Enterobacteriaceae
Description: 23S ribosomal RNA
Rfam family: Bacterial large subunit ribosomal RNA
Source: RNAcentral
GGUUAAGCGACUAAGCGUACACGGUGGAUGCCCUGGCAGUCAGAGGCGAUGAAGGACGUGCUAAUCUGCGAUAAGCGUCGGUAAGGUGAUAUGAACCGUUAUAACCGGCGAUUUCCGAAUGGGGAAACCCAGUGUGAUUCGUCACACUAUCAUUAACUGAAUCCAUAGGUUAAUGAGGCGAACCGGGGGAACUGAAACAUCUAAGUACCCCGAGGAAAAGAAAUCAACCGAGAUUCCCCCAGUAGCGGCGAGCGAACGGGGAGCAGCCCAGAGCCUGAAUCAGUGUGUGUGUUAGUGGAAGCGUCUGGAAAGGCGCGCGAUACAGGGUGACAGCCCCGUACACAAAAAUGCACAUACUGUGAGCUCGAUGAGUAGGGCGGGACACGUGGUAUCCUGUCUGAAUAUGGGGGGACCAUCCUCCAAGGCUAAAUACUCCUGACUGACCGAUAGUGAACCAGUACCGUGAGGGAAAGGCGAAAAGAACCCCGGCGAGGGGAGUGAAAAAGAACCUGAAACCGUGUACGUACAAGCAGUGGGAGCACAGAGCAAUCUGUGUGACUGCGUACCUUUUGUAUAAUGGGUCAGCGACUUAUAUUCUGUAGCAAGGUUAACCGAAUAGGGGAGCCGAAGGGAAACCGAGUCUUAACUGGGCGUUAAGUUGCAGGGUAUAGACCCGAAACCCGGUGAUCUAGCCAUGGGCAGGUUGAAGGUUGGGUAACACUAACUGGAGGACCGAACCGACUAAUGUUGAAAAAUUAGCGGAUGACUUGUGGCUGGGGGUGAAAGGCCAAUCAAACCGGGAGAUAGCUGGUUCUCCCCGAAAGCUAUUUAGGUAGCGCCUCGUGAAUUCAUCUCCGGGGGUAGAGCACUGUUUCGGCAAGGGGGUCAUCCCGACUUACCAACCCGAUGCAAACUGCGAAUACCGGAGAAUGUUAUCACGGGAGACACACGGCGGGUGCUAACGUCCGUCGUGAAGAGGGAAACAACCCAGACCGCCAGCUAAGGUCCCAAAGUCAUGGUUAAGUGGGAAACGAUGUGGGAAGGCCCAGACAGCCAGGAUGUUGGCUUAGAAGCAGCCAUCAUUUAAAGAAAGCGUAAUAGCUCACUGGUCGAGUCGGCCUGCGCGGAAGAUGUAACGGGGCUAAACCAUGCACCGAAGCUGUGGCAGCGACGCUGAUGCGUUGUUGGGUAGGGGAGCGUUCUGUAAGCCUGUGAAGGUGUGCUGUGAGGCAUGCUGGAGGUAUCAGAAGUGCGAAUGCUGACAUAAGUAACGAUAAAGCGGGUGAAAAGCCCGCUCGCCGGAAGACCAAGGGUUCCUGUCCAACGUUAAUCGGGGCAGGGUGAGUCGACCCCUAAGGCGAGGCCGAAAGGCGUAGUCGAUGGGAAACAGGUUAAUAUUCCUGUACUUGGUGUUACUGCGAAGGGGGGACGGAGAAGGCUAUGUUGGCCGGGCGACGGUUGUCCCGGUUUAAGCGUGUAGGCUGGUUUUCCAGGCAAAUCCGGAAAAUCAAGGCUGAGGCGUGAUGACGAGGCACUACGGUGCUGAAGCAACAAAUGCCCUGCUUCCAGGAAAAGCCUCUAAGCAUCAGGUAACAUCAAAUCGUACCCCAAACCGACACAGGUGGUCAGGUAGAGAAUACCAAGGCGCUUGAGAGAACUCGGGUGAAGGAACUAGGCAAAAUGGUGCCGUAACUUCGGGAGAAGGCACGCUGAUAUGUAGGUGAAGUCCCUCGCGGAUGGAGCUGAAAUCAGUCGAAGAUACCAGCUGGCUGCAACUGUUUAUUAAAAACACAGCACUGUGCAAACACGAAAGUGGACGUAUACGGUGUGACGCCUGCCCGGUGCCGGAAGGUUAAUUGAUGGGGUCAGCGCAAGCGAAGCUCUUGAUCGAAGCCCCGGUAAACGGCGGCCGUAACUAUAACGGUCCUAAGGUAGCGAAAUUCCUUGUCGGGUAAGUUCCGACCUGCACGAAUGGCGUAAUGAUGGCCAGGCUGUCUCCACCCGAGACUCAGUGAAAUUGAACUCGCUGUGAAGAUGCAGUGUACCCGCGGCAAGACGGAAAGACCCCGUGAACCUUUACUAUAGCUUGACACUGAACAUUGAGCCUUGAUGUGUAGGAUAGGUGGGAGGCUUAGAAGUGUGGACGCCAGUCUGCAUGGAGCCGACCUUGAAAUACCACCCUUUAAUGUUUGAUGUUCUAACGUUGACCCGUAAUCCGGGUUGCGGACAGUGUCUGGUGGGUAGUUUGACUGGGGCGGUCUCCUCCUAAAGAGUAACGGAGGAGCACGAAGGUUGGCUAAUCCUGGUCGGACAUCAGGAGGUUAGUGCAAUGGCAUAAGCCAGCUUGACUGCGAGCGUGACGGCGCGAGCAGGUGCGAAAGCAGGUCAUAGUGAUCCGGUGGUUCUGAAUGGAAGGGCCAUCGCUCAACGGAUAAAAGGUACUCCGGGGAUAACAGGCUGAUACCGCCCAAGAGUUCAUAUCGACGGCGGUGUUUGGCACCUCGAUGUCGGCUCAUCACAUCCUGGGGCUGAAGUAGGUCCCAAGGGUAUGGCUGUUCGCCAUUUAAAGUGGUACGCGAGCUGGGUUUAGAACGUCGUGAGACAGUUCGGUCCCUAUCUGCCGUGGGCGCUGGAGAAUUGAGGGGGGCUGCUCCUAGUACGAGAGGACCGGAGUGGACGCAUCACUGGUGUUCGGGUUGUCAUGCCAAUGGCACUGCCCGGUAGCUAAAUGCGGAAGAGAUAAGUGCUGAAAGCAUCUAAGCACGAAACUUGCCCCGAGAUGAGUUCUCCCUGACUCCUUGAGAGUCCUGAAGGAACGUUGAAGACGACGACGUUGAUAGGCCGGGUGUGUAAGCGCAGCGAUGCGUUGAGCUAACCGGUACUAAUGAACCGUGAGGCUUAACCUU